This 336-nucleotide unclassified non-coding RNA is filed under the name soil metagenome. RNAcentral describes it as "partial contains 5.8S ribosomal RNA, internal transcribed spacer 2, and large subunit ribosomal RNA". The stretch from base 1 to 121 matches the Rfam family "5.8S ribosomal RNA", at positions 35 to 154 of the family's 154-position model. The record is from RNAcentral.
GAUGAAGAACGGUAGCGAAAUGCGAUAAGUAAUGUGAAUUGCAGAAUUCAGUGAAUCAUCGAAUCUUUGAACGCACAUUGCGCCCGCCAGUAUUCUGGCGGGCAUGCCUGUUCGAGCGUCAUUUCAACCAUCAAGCCCCCGGCUUGUGUUGGGGACCUGCGGCUGCCGCAGGCCCUGAAAACCAGUGGCGGGCUCGCUAGUCACUCCGAGCGUAGUAAUACAUCUCGCUCAGGGCGUGCUGCGGGUUCCGGCCGUUAAAAAGCCUUAUUUACCCAAGGUUGACCUCGGAUCAGGUAGGAAGACCCGCUGAACUUAAGCAUAUCAAUAAGCGGAGGA